RNAcentral lists this ribosomal RNA (601 nucleotides) under Bacillus sp. (in: firmicutes). RNAcentral's name for it is "bacterial SSU rRNA". It matches the Rfam family "Bacterial small subunit ribosomal RNA", at positions 61 to 644 of the family's 1533-position model. The record is from RNAcentral. Lineage: Bacteria; Bacillati; Bacillota; Bacilli; Caryophanales; Bacillaceae.
GUCGAGCGGACAGAUGGGAGCUUGCUCCCUGAUGUUAGCGGCGGACGGGUGAGUAACACGUGGGUAACCUGCCUGUAAGACUGGGAUAACUCCGGGAAACCGGGGCUAAUACCGGAUGGUUGUCUGAACCGCAUGGUUCAGACAUAAAAGGUGGCUUCGGCUACCACUUACAGAUGGACCCGCGGCGCAUUAGCUAGUUGGUGAGGUAACGGCUCACCAAGGCGACGAUGCGUAGCCGACCUGAGAGGGUGAUCGGCCACACUGGGACUGAGACACGGCCCAGACUCCUACGGGAGGCAGCAGUAGGGAAUCUUCCGCAAUGGACGAAAGUCUGACGGAGCAACGCCGCGUGAGUGAUGAAGGUUUUCGGAUCGUAAAGCUCUGUUGUUAGGGAAGAACAAGUGCCGUUCAAAUAGGGCGGCACCUUGACGGUACCUAACCAGAAAGCCACGGCUAACUACGUGCCAGCAGCCGCGGUAAUACGUAGGUGGCAAGCGUUGUCCGGAAUUAUUGGGCGUAAAGGGCUCGCAGGCGGUUUCUUAAGUCUGAUGUGAAAGCCCCCGGCUCAACCGGGGAGGGUCAUUGGAAACUGGGGAACUUG